Molecule: non-coding RNA, 23 nt
Filed under: Cricetulus griseus (Chinese hamster)
Lineage: Eukaryota; Metazoa; Chordata; Mammalia; Rodentia; Cricetidae
Source: RNAcentral
UCUGAAGAGCAACUCGGACAGCG